This 237-nucleotide long non-coding RNA is filed under the name Capsicum annuum. Its description in RNAcentral is "long non-coding RNA (CANN_LNC009769)". The record is from RNAcentral. Lineage: Eukaryota; Viridiplantae; Streptophyta; Magnoliopsida; Solanales; Solanaceae.
CAAGUAGGGGUCGCGAUGCGAGGGGCAGCCUAGUUCAGCAAAUUUCAGUUGCGGGUUAUGGGAUAAAUGGGUCAAUUUCCCCACCCUUAUUCACCUAAAAACACAAAAUUAAGCAUCCGUUCACCAAAAUAUACUCACUUUCUCUCAAACUCUCUCAAGAACAAGCAUUAGGGUUUUCAAUUCAAGAUUCAAAUCUCAAGAAUUCUACCAUCAAUCUUCUCAAAAAAAGCAUAAAGG